Long non-coding RNA from Mytilus californianus (California mussel), 511 nucleotides. RefSeq lists it as uncharacterized. The record is from RefSeq and is a predicted model, not a curated record. The transcript has 3 exons. NCBI's taxonomy places the organism in Eukaryota, Metazoa, Mollusca, Bivalvia, Mytilida, Mytilidae.
UAUAGGCUGAUGUAAUGACAAUGAUUUCAUGGUGUUGGGAGUAAGAAUUGGAGAUCUGAUACUGCUAACAUGUUGGUUAGCAUCACAGCUUGUCCAUAGGGAUACUGGCUGGGGUAGCAUUUGGAUCUGUUUCAAGGUGUGUUCCUGCUGCUGCCUUGUGUGUUCAAUCCUGUGGACAAUAAUAAUCAUGCAAACCACAUAUAUGUUGCAUUUUUGUUUAUUAAAAUCCUUAAGUGAUGAUUCUGAAAGCCAAAUGAUUAAUUUUUUAAUGCUAUUAUUUAUUUUCCAUUUACUGUAAACUCACAAAUUUUUGUUUUUUAAUGCUGUUAUUUAUUUUCCAAUUAUUGAAAAUUCACAGAUUUUUGAUAUAUUUUUUUUACUGAAAAUUGCUACACCGAGAUAGAUUUUGCAAAAAUAAAAUUAUAUUUUAAAUUUUGAUAGCAUUAUUUAUUUGCAACAUGUCCUUAAUGACAAUAAUUAAUUUAAAUAAAUGCUUGCAAAUUUUUUUUGA